RNAcentral lists this ribosomal RNA (395 nucleotides) under uncultured bacterium. RNAcentral's name for it is "partial 16S ribosomal RNA". It matches the Rfam family "Bacterial small subunit ribosomal RNA", at positions 338 to 730 of the family's 1533-position model. The record is from RNAcentral.
CCUACGGGUGGCAGCAGUGAGGAAUAUUGGUCAAUGGACGGAAGUCUGAACCAGCCAUGCCGCGUGCAGGAAGACGGCUCUAUGAGUUGUAAACUGCUUUUGUACAAGGGUAAACCUGAAUACGUGUAUUCAGCUGAAAGUACUGUACGAAUAAGGAUCGGCUAACUCCGUGCCAGCAGCCGCGGUAAUACGGAGGAUUCAAGCGUUAUCCGGAUUUAUUGGGUUUAAAGGGUGCGUAGGCGGAUUGAUAAGUUAGAGGUGAAAUGUCCGAGCUUAACCCGGGAACUGCCUCUAAUACUGGUGAUCUAGAGUGUAAGUGAGGUAGGCGGAAUGUGUGGUGUAGCGGUGAAAUGCUUAGAGAUCAUACAGAACACCGAUUGCGAAGGCAGCUUACC